Molecule: long non-coding RNA, 638 nt
Organism: Homo sapiens (human)
Lineage: Eukaryota; Metazoa; Chordata; Mammalia; Primates; Hominidae
Exons: 2
Source: RefSeq, a predicted model, not a curated record
AUUUAUUUUUCUAAUUGCUCAUGGUUGCUAUACUGAAAUAUGAUUUUUUAUUUUGAUCUUUCACCCAGCAACCACACUAAAUUCACUGAUUAAUUCCAACACUUCAUCUGAGGAUUCAAAGAUCAAAGCCCCAGCUGUUCCUCCAGGGCCAGGCCCCACCCACUGCACCGCCUCAUCCCCCAUGUCUCCCCGGAAGGGCCUCCCCUCUAUGGGUCUUUGGCUUUCCUACCCCCAUACCUUUUUAACACAGAUGAGGAUGAUGAAUGACAAUGAUAAUGGCAGUAAAUAAAAACAGAACACCAAUCACAAUCAAUAUCUUCACCUCUACCACCUGCUGUGCCAGGCAGGGACCCAGGCCCUUUAUGACAUAGUCCUUAACCCUCCUCCCCACCCUGGGAGCAAGGAAGAGAUUAUGCCCAUGUGAGCUGUGAGGAAGCUGAGGUGGAGCCCCAGUCUCUGCAAGGGAGUGUAGUAUGUUGAAGGAGGGCACAUCCAGUCCUCCUACUGUAAACAGCUGUGAAUAAGGUGUCACCCUGAGGCAGACGGAUGGCUCAGCUCCUUACCACAUGGAUGGCUCCUUCCUUCCUUCUUCAGGGUGCGCUGGCUCUCCCUGGAAGUUUCUCUGUGGAAACAAAAAG